RNAcentral lists this transfer RNA (75 nucleotides) under Verrucomicrobiaceae bacterium. RNAcentral describes it as "tRNA-Met". It matches the Rfam family "tRNA". From Rfam's summary of the family: Transfer RNA (tRNA) molecules are approximately 80 nucleotides in length. The record is from RNAcentral. Lineage: Bacteria; Pseudomonadati; Verrucomicrobiota; Verrucomicrobiia; Verrucomicrobiales; Verrucomicrobiaceae.
GGCGGGGUCGCCAAGCGGUAAGGCAACGGUCCCAUACGCCGUGCAGCGCCGGUUCGACUCCGGCCCCCGCCACCA